GGUUGUUGUUUUUUCUCUGUGUCUGCUAGAUUGACGCUGGCGGCAGGCCUAACACAUGCAAGUCGAGCGGAUGAAGGGAGCUUGCUCCUGGAUUCAGCGGCGGACGGGUGAGUAAUGCCUAGGAAUCUGCCUGGUAGUGGGGGACAACGUUUCGAAAGGAACGCUAAUACCGCAUACGUCCUACGGGAGAAAGCAGGGGACCUUCGGGCCUUGCGCUAUCAGAUGAGCCUAGGUCGGAUUAGCUAGUUGGUGAGGUAAUGGCUCACCAAGGCGACGAUCCGUAACUGGUCUGAGAGGAUGAUCAGUCACACUGGAACUGAGACACGGUCCAGACUCCUACGGGAGGCAGCAGUGGGGAAUAUUGGACAAUGGGCGAAAGCCUGAUCCAGCCAUGCCGCGUGUGUGAAGAAGGUCUUCGGAUUGUAAAGCACUUUAAGUUGGGAGGAAGGGUUGUAGAUUAAUACUCUGCAAUUUUGACGUUACCGACAGAAUAAGCACCGGCUAACUCUGUGCCAGCAGCCGCGGUAAUACAGAGGGUGCAAGCGUUAAUCGGAAUUACUGGGCGUAAAGCGCACGUAGGUGGUUCGUUAAGUUGGAUGUGAAAUCCCCGGGCUCAACCUGGGAACUGCAUCCAAAACUGGCGAGCUAGAGUAUGGUAGAGGGUGGUGGAAUUUCCUGUGUAGCGGUGAAAUGCGUAGAUAUAGGAAGGAACACCAGUGGCGAAAGGCGACCACCUGGACUGAUACUGACACUGAGGUGCGAAAGCGUGGGGAACAAACAGGAUUAGAUACCCUGGUAGUCCACGCCGUAAACGAUGUCAACCAGCCGUUGGGAGCCUUGAGCUUCUUAGUGGGCGCAGCUAACGCAUU
Molecule: ribosomal RNA, 869 nt
Filed under: uncultured soil bacterium
Lineage: Bacteria
Description: SSU rRNA
Rfam family: Bacterial small subunit ribosomal RNA
Source: RNAcentral